RNAcentral lists this ribosomal RNA (236 nucleotides) under uncultured bacterium. RNAcentral describes it as "partial 16S ribosomal RNA". It matches the Rfam family "Bacterial small subunit ribosomal RNA", at positions 333 to 583 of the family's 1533-position model. The record is from RNAcentral.
GGUAGCCUACGGGGCGCAGCAGUGGGGAAUAUUGGGCAAUGGGCGCAAGCCUGACCCAGCAACGCCGCGUGAAGGAAGAAGGCUUUCGGGUUGUAAACUUCUUUUCUUGGGGACGAAGAAAGUGACGGUACCCAAGGAAUAAGCCACGGCUAACUACGUGCCAGCAGCCGCGGUAAUACGUAGGUGGCAAGCGUUAUCCGGAUUUAUUGGGUGUAACGGGCGUGUAGGCGGGGGUG